CUGUGACUCCUACGGGAGGCAGCAGUGGGGAAUAUUGCACAAUGGGCGCAAGCCUGAUGCAGCCAUGCCGCGUGUAUGAAGAAGGCCUUCGGGUUGUAAAGUACUUUCAGCAGUGAGGAAGGCAGGUACGUUAAUAGCGUGCUUGUUUGACGUUAGCUGCAGAAGAAGCACCGGCUAACUCCGUGCCAGCAGCCGCGGUAAUACGGAGGGUGCGAGCGUUAAUCGGAAUUACUGGGACGUAAAGCGCAUGCAGGUGGUUUGUUAAGUCAGAUGUGAAAGCCCCGGGGCUCAACCUCGGAAUUGCAUUUGAAACUGGCAGACUAGAGUACUGUAGAGGGGGUAGAAUUUCAGGUGUAGCGGUGAAAUGCGUAGAGAUCUGAAGGAAUACCGGUGGCGAAGGCGGCCCCCUGGACAGAUACUGACACUCAGAUGCGAAAGCGUGGGGAGCAAACAGGAUUAGAUACCCUGGUAG
RNAcentral lists this ribosomal RNA (472 nucleotides) under uncultured bacterium. RNAcentral describes it as "bacterial SSU rRNA". It matches the Rfam family "Bacterial small subunit ribosomal RNA", at positions 330 to 793 of the family's 1533-position model. The record is from RNAcentral.